RNAcentral lists this ribosomal RNA (459 nucleotides) under uncultured bacterium. Its description in RNAcentral is "partial 16S ribosomal RNA". It matches the Rfam family "Bacterial small subunit ribosomal RNA", at positions 338 to 795 of the family's 1533-position model. The record is from RNAcentral.
CCUACGGGUGGCUGCAGUGAGGAAUAUUGGUCAAUGGGCGAGAGCCUGAACCAGCCAAGUCGCGUGAGGGAGUACUGCCCUAUGGGUUGUAAACCUCUUUUGUCGGGGAGCAAAAGCCGGACGUGUCCGGCUGUGAGAGUACCCGAAGAAAAAGCAUCGGCUAACUCCGUGCCAGCAGCCGCGGUAAUACGGAGGAUGCGAGCGUUAUCCGGAUUUAUUGGGGUUAAAGGGUGCGCAGGCGGAUUUUUAAGUCAGCGGUCAAAUCGUGGGGCUCAACCGUAAAAUUGCAAUUGAUACUGGCAGUCUUGAGUACAGUUGAGGUAAGCGGAAUUCGUGGUGUAGCGGUGAAAUGCUUAGAUAUCACGAAGAACCCCGAUUGCGAAGGCAGCUUACUAAACUGUGACUGACAUUGAUGCUCGAAAGUGUGGGUAUCAAACAGGAUUAGAUACCCGAGUAGUC